This 292-nucleotide ribosomal RNA is filed under the name uncultured bacterium. RNAcentral describes it as "partial 16S ribosomal RNA". The record is from RNAcentral.
GGACUACAGGGGUUUCUAAUCCCAUUCGCGACCCACGCUUUCAUGUUUCAGUGUCAGGAGUGCUCCAGCCUGCUGCCUUCGCUUUUGGUGUUCCCCAUAAUAUCAACGCAUUUCACCGCUACACUAUGAGUUCCGCAGACCCCUCGCAUCCUCGAGUCGUGCCGUUUCCCUUGCAUGCCCCCGGUUAAGCCGAAGAAUUUAACAAGAGACUAACACAACCACCUACACAUCCUUUACGCCCAAUGAUUCCGGAUAACGCUUGAGGCACUCGUAUUACCGCGGCUGCUGGCAC